AUGUUGCCCCCUGCAACGCCCCACCACGGCUUCCAGAUAGAUCGCGAAGAGCAAGCCGGACACCCGCCCGACGAUGAGGACGCCCGGAUGGUCAAGAUCGGCACCGUAGACGGCGACAGGAGUUGCCCCGCCGGGCCUCACACACCGGCCACCGGCAGCCGCGCGAGCAGAAGCAGACGCGCCCGCGCCCGGCCGGCAGGCGCCCCGCACCGUCCGUGGCCACCAGGCAGCAGAUCUGGCCGAGCCAGACCAGGCCGCUGCCGCUCCUGCCAAGGACGCGCCCGCGCCAACGAAGCCCACCACGCCGCCGCCACGCACCCGCGACCCCGCCGCCGCCGGCCCGCGCCAGCCGCCACUGAGCGAAGGGAGGAAGGGCCCCGCCGCCGAUGA
Molecule: ribosomal RNA, 390 nt
Filed under: Triticum aestivum (bread wheat)
Lineage: Eukaryota; Viridiplantae; Streptophyta; Magnoliopsida; Poales; Poaceae
Description: partial small subunit ribosomal RNA
Source: RNAcentral